AUUGAACGCUGGCGGCAGGCCUAACACAUGCAAGUCGAGCGGAUGAAGGGAGCUUGCACCUGGAUUCAGCGGCGGACGGGUGAGUAAUGCCUAGGAAUCUGCCUGGUAGCGGGGGAUAACGUCCGGAAACGGGCGCUAAUACCGCAUACGUCCUGAGGGAGAGAGUGGGGGAUCUUCGGACCUCACGCUAUAAGAUGAGCCUAGGUCGGAUUAGCUAGUUGGUGGGGUAAAGGCCUACCAAGGCGGCGAUCCGUAACUGGUCUGAGAGGAUGAUCAGUCACACUGGAGCUGGGACACGGUACAGACUCCGAGGGGAGGCAGAGGUGGGGAAGAUUGGAAGAUGGGCGGAAGCCUGAUCCAGCCAUGCCAGGUGGAUGAAGAAGGGCUUCGGAUGGUAUAGCACUUUAAGUUGGGAGGAAGGGUAGUAAGAUAGUAGCUUGCUGUUGUGACGGUACCAACAGAAUAAGCACCGGCUAACUUCGUG
This 484-nucleotide ribosomal RNA is filed under the name uncultured bacterium. Its description in RNAcentral is "partial 16S ribosomal RNA". It matches the Rfam family "Bacterial small subunit ribosomal RNA", at positions 29 to 507 of the family's 1533-position model. The record is from RNAcentral.